GUACUGUAUGACAGGCAAGAAGGUUAGCUCUUCCUUAACUAGGAUGGAAGAGAUCCUAUGACCUAUGCAACACACAUAUGGUUAAGAAACUGGCACCUACUUAAUGUAUCUAUGAUUUUUA
This is a small nuclear RNA of Cynocephalus volans (Philippine flying lemur), 121 nucleotides long. The record is from RefSeq and is a predicted model, not a curated record. Lineage: Eukaryota; Metazoa; Chordata; Mammalia; Dermoptera; Cynocephalidae.